Molecule: ribosomal RNA, 312 nt
Filed under: uncultured Glomeromycotina
Lineage: Eukaryota; Fungi; Glomeromycota
Description: LSU rRNA
Source: RNAcentral
UUGAAAGGGAAACGAUUGAAGUCAGUCAUGCCGGUGGGAAAUCAGCUCAUAGGCUACUGUGGGUGCACUUUCUCGCAAGGCAGGUUAACAUCGGUUUCAGUUGCGUUAUAAUGAUGGUGGGAAGGUAGCUCCCUCGGGAGUGUUAUAGCCCGCUAUAGAUGGCGUGACAGAGAUCGAGGAUUGCAGCGAAUGCCUUUAGGCUACGGGUCUGGUCUCUGUCGAGUGUCAACUUGUCGGCAGCGUGCUGACGUAUGAGGUGACGACUUUACAAUAGGUUCAGAACUCGAUAAAUUCGUUAAGGAUGUUGACGUA